UGGCCAAGGUGACAUUUGCUUAGUG
RNAcentral lists this non-coding RNA (25 nucleotides) under Rattus norvegicus (Norway rat). Lineage: Eukaryota; Metazoa; Chordata; Mammalia; Rodentia; Muridae. The record is from RNAcentral.